Long non-coding RNA from Cyprinus carpio (common carp), 273 nucleotides. RefSeq lists it as uncharacterized. The record is from RefSeq and is a predicted model, not a curated record. NCBI's taxonomy places the organism in Eukaryota, Metazoa, Chordata, Actinopteri, Cypriniformes, Cyprinidae. The transcript is spliced from 3 exons.
GGACAAUGGUAGAUAAUUCUGCUUGAAGAAAAACAGCAGUGUUGCAUGCGUCACAUUAUGGAGCCAAUUAGAACUACCUAUGGCUCUCUUACUGCAUGCAAAGAAAGCUGUGGCUCUAUAGCUUGUCAUUUGAGUGAUUGAACCCAAAGCAUUACGCAGCAGCUGAUGUCAGGGUGUGAUUCAGCGGCGGCUGACAGUAUUGAAAACAUGCCAAAUCCAGUGUAGGAUUAUACCAGAAACAAACUCAUCUAUAUCUUGGAUGGCCUGAGGGGG